AAGACUAUAGACCUGCGGAGUACCUGCGGAGGGAUCAUUAACGUAUCUAUGAUGGGGUGCGGAGCGCCCUGCUCCGGUCGAACGGCCGUGCAGCGGGUGCGCCGCCCCCGUCCCACCUCACAAACCCACUGUGAACAUUCACCGGUGGAGGGGGCUCGGUCUGCGCCGUGUCCCCGAUGCCGAAUACCCAAACUCCAGUUGCAGAGAACGUCGUGCGGACUCGGUGCCGCCUAAAACAUG
RNAcentral lists this unclassified non-coding RNA (240 nucleotides) under soil metagenome. RNAcentral's name for it is "partial contains 5.8S ribosomal RNA, internal transcribed spacer 2, and large subunit ribosomal RNA". The record is from RNAcentral.